RNAcentral lists this long non-coding RNA (647 nucleotides) under Gallus gallus (chicken). RNAcentral describes it as "lncRNA (ENSGALG00010019758.1)". The record is from RNAcentral. Lineage: Eukaryota; Metazoa; Chordata; Aves; Galliformes; Phasianidae.
GAAAGACGUGUCUAGGGUACCACAGAUAUCAGUGUGUUGUGUUUACUACUGUGCCCAUGCUUCCAUCUUGAUGACAAGGAGGACGACUCCUUCAUCAUUCCCACUACAGAAUACACAAUGGUUCACAUCUUGAAACUGUUUCAGUGUUAUUAACCUGGAUUCCAUUUGGAUGAAAUGAAGCCAGAAGGGCAUGAUUGCAAAUGUUCACUUUGGUUCCAGAAGCAGCUCAAUAAAAGAAAGAAAAGUUUUAGAAUUUCUUCCAGAAGACGUCAAUGAGAAAAAAAGAACCUAAAAGAAACCUACUUAAUGUUUUAUGACAGAAAUCUAGAAUCAAAUUGAAUUAAGGACAGCAUAGAUGCUGAAACUACUGAAGAAUGCUGCAGUUAUCUCAUCGAGUGAUGUUCAUCAUUGGAGCCUGUUGAAAUACUUCCGCAUGAGGAAGGAAUGAUGCAUAUAAGGAAAUCUUGAAGAGAAGACUUCACAUAUUUCCCGACUAAUCUCUGAUGAGACAGCUUUCUUCCAUUCUUAAAGGAGGAAGAAAGGGAGAAUCAGCAAGUAAAACAAAACAAGAAAAUGAUAUUCAUUCCACAUAACAUAUUUAAUUUGAUCGACAAUCUUUAGCCUGUCAUUGACCAAGAACACCCAAG